Molecule: small RNA, 123 nt
Filed under: Marmota monax (woodchuck)
Lineage: Eukaryota; Metazoa; Chordata; Mammalia; Rodentia; Sciuridae
Source: RNAcentral
GCUGGGAGUGGUGGCACAUGCCUGUAAUCCCAGUGGCUUGGAGGCUGAGGCAGGAGGAUCAUGAGUUCAAAGUCGUCUUAGCAAAGGCCAGGCGAUAAGCAAUUCAGUGAGACUCAGUCUCUA